GAAAAAAUGAGGAAAAUCUCAACAAAGCCCAAAGUUUGUGCACAAGUUCUAGUUUCUUUUUAUUUAUUUAUUUAGUUAGUUAGUUAGUUGUGGUGAAAUGAUAUCCAAUAUUUUGAUUGGGAAAGUGACACAUUUAAGUGGUAUUUUUGUGUAGAAAUUCUUACUGGGAAAGUCUAUUUUUAAAAAGAUGAAGAAUUUAUCUUCAGUGAUCUGAACCAAUAAUGGGCUUCCCUUCAAAUACCUGACCAUUCUUGGAUCUGUUGGAAUGUGCUAUUUGUUGUGGGCUAUGGGGCAGGAGGUGGGGAGAACAAGAUGGAAGAGUUGGACUCAGUCCAGUCCACGAUGGGUGGAUAGUGACACUGUCAUGUGUGCCCCUCUGACGGUGAAGUGAAAGAAAGCCCACCUGGAACUUCUCAUGACAACAUCAAUAAACUGUCAAAGCACAAAGGAUUUGGAGAUUCAAGCUCCUAACCUCAAGAGAACUUCAGAACUAGAUGUGUUUUAUCAAUCAUAUAGAGAAAACUUUUCCUACCUCUUCUACGUUCUUCACAAGAAUCUAGCUAGCUCUCUUGCUGCAGCACAUUGUGCAAGUUCAUCAUGAAGCACUAACGGAAAGUUCCUUUCAGAGUCUGAGUAUUUGGAGGAUUUUUACCCAUCACAAAGCUUGGUAGGUACCCCUUGUCUCCAGGUGCUUAAUUUUACACUGCAUUUAAAUGAAACCGGUUGCCGGUAUGAUGCAGAUUUCUCUGUAAAAUUGUCCUAUCUGUGGUAAUACAGCAAUUAUAUCAACACUAAAGAUUUACAACAAAAGGUAACUAUAAAAACAUAUUUGUACAACGCAGCUCCAGGCUCAAUGCUAUACUAAUAAUAUAAUUAAUAAAAUACACUAUUUAUGCCA
Molecule: long non-coding RNA, 898 nt
Filed under: Anas platyrhynchos platyrhynchos (common mallard)
Lineage: Eukaryota; Metazoa; Chordata; Aves; Anseriformes; Anatidae
Description: lncRNA (ENSAPLG00000020380.1)
Source: RNAcentral